CAAGCCAUAUAAAAAUACCCUUAUAACAUUUUACACCUAACCCUAACCCUAACCCUACAAAAUUCACCUAGCCGCACCACCCCUCUGCCCGCCGCCAAAGUCGCCGGAAAAGGCAUAAUCCGGCGACGCGUUCACUCUCUGGUCCCCCAUGGUCCCCCCUCUCUCAUCUUCUCCUUCUUCUACGUCACCUACCCGUACGACUCUCAUCAUUACCAUCCAAAACAUGUUUGAUUUUUCUCAUGGACAGAUUUUGGAUUAAUUGCGGACGUAGGAUUUAAGUACCUUAAAUCCUAUCCUUCCAUUUAUCCCAAAAAUUGUUCAAAAAGGGGAGAAAACAAGGUGGAUUUUCAGAUUUAAGAAAAGGGAGAUAAUUUUCGAAUCUCUGGAGGAGAAGCAAGGUGAAGCUUCUAGGCUUCCUAUAAAUAGGGGAUUUUCGAACAGUCUUGAGGGGGAUUUUUUGGGAAAAAGCUAGGGUUUUGGUUUUGAUUUUGAGUCUUUCUCUUCUUCUAAUUUUCAGUUCAUUCAUAGACAAAAGAGAGAAGUUCUGUUUCGUUUUGAUAAUCAAAAAAUAUUUAUAAAAAAAAGGCAUUUCGGUUUCCUCCCGUUCAAUUUUGGGUUUUGAGAUUCAAAAAAUGGAGUUUAGCUGAGCGAGGUCGGAUCGCCGUUCAAGUACUGCUACUGGUUCGCGGAAUCACUACUAUUUUGCUGGGAUUUUGGAUUCUAAGCCUUGUAAUCGACCUCACUUCUAUUAUCAAAAGAAAGGUUUAAUUUCAGGUAUGGACCCGCUGAUUCUAUCCAAAAUGCUGAUGGUGGUAAAGAUUCCUAGGAAGUUGAUCAAGUGGUGGAAAAUGUUUUUGUUGCUAGAGCAGCAUGAGUUAAUGCAGAAAUUGGGCACCAUCACUUCCCUUCUUGAUAUCACACCUCGCCCAGACUUAGUGGAGGCGAUGCUGACUUAUUGGGAUCCGCAAAUUUGGUUUUCAGAUUUGGAGAGUGUGAGAUGACCCCUACCUUGGCAGAAAUGUCUGGUCUAACUUGUUUAAGCUAUAUAGGCAAGGACAUGAUACUUCCCCGAGACCAUUCUAGGACCAAAUUCCUCAGCGACCUAGGCCUGAAAGAAAACAAGCAUUUAAAAUGCCUCGAGUAGUCAUGGAUAUCCUUGUAUUAUUUGUUUGCUAGAUUUGGACCACAGGAUAGUUUUGACGUUUUUUGGGAUGAGUUCUGCACAACCAAGGCAAAGUGGCAAAGACGUCGCCUCGAAGCUUUCAGCCUUGCUUUGUUUGGAUUAUUGGUUUUUCUAUUAGAUGAGAGGCACAUUAGCACUCGUUUGCAGUCAGUGGUAAUGGCACUAUUUCAUGAGAAGCAGCGCAAAACUGUUACCGUUGUGUCGAUGAUCUUAGCAGAGUUGUAAUGAGCCCUGAGUGAGGUUAGGGGAGGUGUCAGGUAUUUUGAGGGAAGUAACCUUUUGCUAUAAUUGUGGAUGGUGGAGCAUUUGCACAUCGCUUCCUUACUUUGUCCCAUCGACUGUACCUUGAGGGAUCGGGUGGUAUGCAUCGAGCGUAGGAUGAAAUCUCCUACGUUUACAUACCCAAUAGGCGUCACAGCUUGGAUUGAGUUCCUUGGUUUGAGGACAAAUGGAAAUAUUUUGUGGGCUUACCUUUGGCUACCUUUAGAUGAUAUCUUGGUAGGAUGCCUUAUGCAGCCUUUCCUAAUGCUGAUAGGACUUAAGUGUGUCAGGUCGUACACUCCCAUUAGGGUAAUGCGACAGUUGGGAAGAAGACAAGAGGAGCCUCCAACAAUGAAUCUUCAGAGGCACAUCAUGAAUUUUAGCAAAAAGGCGGCUGACAAAAUCAAGUACGUGCAGUACUUGAACAAUGCAAAGAGGAUGAAGAAAAAUACAUUAGUAGAAGACGUUGGUAGGCCCGAAUGUACUCAGGAGUACCUGAUUUGGUUACAGUCCAUCCCACCAGGGGUCAGCACCACAUUGCUAGCACAACUUAGGGGUCGGGCAGUUUAGACAGAUGAUUUUGAGGAGGCAUCGGACCAAGAUCCUUGGAAUAAGCUUGAGUCGAUCAAGUCUCAGUUAGCGGGAUUGGCAGCAAAUGUGGAGCAACAUGGCCAGUAUUUGUUUAGGGUCGGCCUUCAGGAUGCGGGGUCACACGCCAGGGUUCCCAGCAUCGAUGUUUCUUUACGAGGCAUGUUACAGAGUUUGAGCAUGACGGACAGCCCAGGACCAUCCCAGUCAGGACCGUCACAUUCAGGAGCAGCUUGAGGAGUCAUUCUAUUUAGGUGUUUUAAGAUCGUCUUAUGUCAUCUUUUACUUUCGUGUCUUGUCUGGGAGUAAUGAAUCCAUUAGGUAAUGUCAGAGUUUGUCGUAGUGUUGUUGAGUCUGUCAGGUUUUUCAUUAUCGUACUUCCCAUUGUAUUUUAAUAUCGAAAAGUUUUUAAAUGAAAAAUCCCAAAAAUAUUUUAUUUUU
RNA transcript from Nicotiana tabacum (common tobacco), 2473 nucleotides. RefSeq lists it as uncharacterized. The record is from RefSeq and is a predicted model, not a curated record. NCBI's taxonomy places the organism in Eukaryota, Viridiplantae, Streptophyta, Magnoliopsida, Solanales, Solanaceae.